GAUGAACGCUGGCGGCGUGCCUAAUACAUGCAAGUCGAGCGAACAGACGCGGCUCUUGCUCCUCUGUCGUUAGCGGCGGACGGGUGUAUAACGCGUGUAUCCCCUCCCUAUCUGUCUGGGAUAUCUUCGGGAAACCGGCUCUAAUACCAGAUAAUAUAUUGAACCGCGUGGUUCAAUGGUGAAAGACGGUUUUGCUGUCACUUCUCGAUGCAUCCGCGCCGUAUUAGCUAGUUGUUAAGGUAACGGGCUACAAAGGCAACGAUGCGUAGCCGACCUGAGAGGGGGGUAGGCCACACGGGAGCGGAGACACCGACAAGACGACUGAGGGAGGCAGCAGUAGGGAAUGUGACGCAAUGGGCGAAAGCAUGACGGAGUAAGGGCGCGUGAGUGACGAAGGUCUUCGGAUCGGAAAAACCUGUUAUGAGGGAAGAACAAAUGUGGAAGGAACUAUGCAGGGCGUGACGGUACCGGAUCAGAAAGCCACGGCUAACUACGUG
Molecule: ribosomal RNA, 497 nt
Filed under: uncultured bacterium
Lineage: Bacteria
Description: partial 16S ribosomal RNA
Rfam family: Bacterial small subunit ribosomal RNA
Source: RNAcentral